This 581-nucleotide ribosomal RNA is filed under the name Urnula sp. TNM F15544. RNAcentral's name for it is "eukaryotic LSU rRNA". The stretch from base 233 to 386 matches the Rfam family "5.8S ribosomal RNA". Lineage: Eukaryota; Fungi; Ascomycota; Pezizomycetes; Pezizales; Sarcosomataceae. The record is from RNAcentral.
GUGACUAGGCCCAGCGGGGCCCCCCCCCUCGCACUGAGGGGGGGGCUGAACCAACGCUCACGGCUUGGUCAGUUGGAUGACUCUGCUGCUUCUUUUCACCAUUGCAAUCUCCCUUCAGUGUUCAAAUAUUCCAUGUUGCUUCCCGUUGCGCGUUCUAUACCCAGCGGGGAGGAGAACUCAACUCUGGUAUUGCUGUUCUGUGUCUGAGUGGUAAGCACAAUAAACAAGUUAAAACUUUCAACAACGGAUCUCUUGGUUCUCGCAUCGAUGAAGAACGCAGCGAAAUGCGAUAAGUAGUGUGAAUUGCAGAAUUCAGUGAAUCAUCGAAUCUUUGAACGCACAUUGCGCCUCCUGGUAUUCCGGGAGGCAUGCCUGUUCGAGCGUCAUCAAACAUAUACUCAAGCCUCGUUAUGCUUGGUCUUGGGGGAGGAUCGUAUGAUCCCCCCUGAAAUCUCUCAGCGGAAAACCCCUUGUUAUGUCCCCAGGUGUGAUAACUACUAUUCGCCCACGGACUGUCGAGGUGGUCUUGCUGUCAGAAGCCCCCCAGCUUUCCUUUUGUUUGACCUCGGAUCAGGUAGGGA